GUUCCGGUGACUACAAAUGCCAAGCCAGCUCAACAGUCGGGGCUGCUGGUGUUGUCAGCCGCAUGCCUCGUACAUGUGUGUGUGGAUACUAGAGUAUCGUAUCUUCUCGUUGACGGCGUCCUCCGCCUCCCUGGCCACGCCCCCGUCCUUGACCUCUAACGCCAGCCGGGCCGUCGCAGCCUGCAGACGCUUCCUGAGCGCCUGUGGGAGGUAAAUCUCCACCUGCUGCAGCUGGUUCCUGGCGGCCUUCAUGUUCCUCGUCUUGUCGUUUCUCUUCAGGUAGUUGAACCUCAGGUUGCUGAAACGCUUCUUCAGCUCCUUAAAGGAGUCGCGGAGCUGGAAAAUUAAACAUCGGAAAAAUCAGUGAUGUUGACAGAAACGUGUUUUGUGAGGUCACAUUGACCUUUGACCCCCAAAAUCUAAUUCUUUCCUUUUUUUUUACAUGUUGUUGUUGAGAUUAAGCAUCAAACUAUUUUAUUAUGAGUUUCUAUUAUUGUUUGCA
Cottoperca gobio is the source of this 502-nucleotide long non-coding RNA. RefSeq lists it as uncharacterized. NCBI's taxonomy places the organism in Eukaryota, Metazoa, Chordata, Actinopteri, Perciformes, Bovichtidae. The transcript is spliced from 3 exons. The record is from RefSeq and is a predicted model, not a curated record.